RNAcentral lists this ribosomal RNA (464 nucleotides) under Vreelandella stevensii. RNAcentral's name for it is "partial 16S ribosomal RNA". It matches the Rfam family "Bacterial small subunit ribosomal RNA", at positions 339 to 795 of the family's 1533-position model. The record is from RNAcentral. Lineage: Bacteria; Pseudomonadati; Pseudomonadota; Gammaproteobacteria; Oceanospirillales; Halomonadaceae.
CCACGGGCGGCUGCAGUGGGGAAUAUUGGACAAUGGGGGGAACCCUGAUCCAGCCAUGCCGCGUGUGUGAAGAAGGCCCUCGGGUUGUAAAGCACUUUCAGUGAGGAAGAACGCCUGGUGGUUAAUACCCAUCAGGAAAGACAUCACUCACAGAAGAAGCACCGGCUAACUCCGUGCCAGCAGCCGCGGUAAUACGGAGGGUGCGAGCGUUAAUCGGAAUUACUGGGCGUAAAGCGCGCGUAGGUGGCUUGAUAAGCCGGUUGUGAAAGCCCCGGGCUCAACCUGGGAACGGCAUCCGGAACUGUCAAGCUAGAGUGCAGGAGAGGAAGGUAGAAUUCCCGGUGUAGCGGGGAAAUGCGUAGAGAUCGGGAGGAAUACCAGUGGCGAAGGCGGCCUUCUGGACUGACACUGACACUGAGGUGCGAAAGCGUGGGUAGCAAACAGGAUUAGAUACCCCAGUAGUC